AGCUCCAGUAGCGUAUAUUAAAGUUGCUGCAGUUAAAAAGCUCGUAGUUGGAUUUCUGGUUGAGCGCGCCUGGCCCGCCUCGAAUAGAGCGUGAGUGCCGGUGCGCGCUUGCCAUCCUUCUAGAAAACGUUUCCUCCUUCAUUGGUUGGAUUCGCGAUCUAGAUCAUUUACUUUGAAAAAAUUAGAGUGUUUAAAGCAGGCUUGUGCUAUGAAUACAUUAGCAUGGAAUAAUAAUUUAGGACUUCGGUUCUAUUUUGUUGGUUUCUAGUACUGAAGUAAUGAUUGAUAGGGAGCGUUGGGGGUGCUAGUAUUCAGCGGCCAGAGGUGAAAUUCUUGGAUUCGCUGAAGACUAACUUAUGCGAAAGCAUUCACCAAGGAGCUCUUCUUUAAUCAAGAACGA
Molecule: ribosomal RNA, 400 nt
Filed under: phytoplankton environmental sample
Lineage: Eukaryota
Description: partial small subunit ribosomal RNA
Rfam family: Eukaryotic small subunit ribosomal RNA
Source: RNAcentral